This 1234-nucleotide ribosomal RNA is filed under the name Paenarthrobacter sp. RNAcentral describes it as "bacterial SSU rRNA". It matches the Rfam family "Bacterial small subunit ribosomal RNA", at positions 106 to 1352 of the family's 1533-position model. The record is from RNAcentral. Lineage: Bacteria; Bacillati; Actinomycetota; Actinomycetes; Micrococcales; Micrococcaceae.
GUGAGUAACACGUGAGUAACCUGCCCUUGACUCUGGGAUAAGCCUGGGAAACUGGGUCUAAUACCGGAUACGACCAUCUGACGCAUGUCAUGGUGGUGGAAAGCUUUUGCGGUUUUGGAUGGACUCGCGGCCUAUCAGCUUGUUGGUGGGGUAAUGGCCUACCAAGGCGACGACGGGUAGCCGGCCUGAGAGGGUGACCGGCCACACUGGGACUGAGACACGGCCCAGACUCCUACGGGAGGCAGCAGUGGGGAAUAUUGCACAAUGGGCGAAAGCCUGAUGCAGCGACGCCGCGUGAGGGAUGACGGCCUUCGGGUUGUAAACCUCUUUCAGUAGGGAAGAAGCGAAAGUGACGGUACCUGCAGAAGAAGCGCCGGCUAACUACGUGCCAGCAGCCGCGGUAAUACGUAGGGCGCAAGCGUUAUCCGGAAUUAUUGGGCGUAAAGAGCUCGUAGGCGGUUUGUCGCGUCUGCUGUGAAAGACCGGGGCUCAACUCCGGUUCUGCAGUGGGUACGGGCAGACUAGAGUGCAGUAGGGGAGACUGGAAUUCCUGGUGUAGCGGUGAAAUGCGCAGAUAUCAGGAGGAACACCGAUGGCGAAGGCAGGUCUCUGGGCUGUAACUGACGCUGAGGAGCGAAAGCAUGGGGAGCGAACAGGAUUAGAUACCCUGGUAGUCCAUGCCGUAAACGUUGGGCACUAGGUGUGGGGGACAUUCCACGUUUUCCGCGCCGUAGCUAACGCAUUAAGUGCCCCGCCUGGGGAGUACGGCCGCAAGGCUAAAACUCAAAGGAAUUGACGGGGGCCCGCACAAGCGGCGGAGCAUGCGGAUUAAUUCGAUGCAACGCGAAGAACCUUACCAAGGCUUGACAUGAACCGGAAAGACCUGGAAACAGGUGCCCCGCUUGCGGUCGGUUUACAGGUGGUGCAUGGUUGUCGUCAGCUCGUGUCGUGAGAUGUUGGGUUAAGUCCCGCAACGAGCGCAACCCUCGUUCUAUGUUGCCAGCGCGUUAUGGCGGGGACUCAUAGGAGACUGCCGGGGUCAACUCGGAGGAAGGUGGGGACGACGUCAAAUCAUCAUGCCCCUUAUGUCUUGGGCUUCACGCAUGCUACAAUGGCCGGUACAAAGGGUUGCGAUACUGUGAGGUGGAGCUAAUCCCAAAAAGCCGGUCUCAGUUCGGAUUGGGGUCUGCAACUCGACCCCAUGAAGUCGGAGUCGCUAGUAAUCGCAGAUCAG